RNAcentral lists this ribosomal RNA (424 nucleotides) under uncultured Bacteroides sp. RNAcentral describes it as "bacterial SSU rRNA". It matches the Rfam family "Bacterial small subunit ribosomal RNA", at positions 338 to 776 of the family's 1533-position model. Lineage: Bacteria; Pseudomonadati; Bacteroidota; Bacteroidia; Bacteroidales; Bacteroidaceae. The record is from RNAcentral.
CCUACGGGAGGCAGCAGUGGGGAAUAUUGGGCAAUGGAGGCAACUCUGACCCAGCAACGCCGCGUGAAUGAUGAAGGUCUUCGGAUUGUAAAGUUCUGUGACGGGGGACGAACACAAUGACGGUACCCCGAUAGCAAGCCACGGCUAACUACGUGCCAGCAGCCGCGGUAAUACGUAGGUGGCAAGCGUUAUCCGGAAUGACUGGGCGUAAAGGGUGCGUAGGUGGUUUGGCAAGUUGGCGGCGUAAUUCCGAGGCUCAACCUCGGCGCUACCGCCAAAACUGUCGGACUUGAGUGCAGGAGGGGUAAGUGGAAUUCCUAGUGUAGCGGUGGAAUGCGUAGAUAUUAGGAGGAACAUCGGUGGCGAAGGCGACUUACUGGACUGUAACUGACACUGAGGCACGAAAGCGUGGGGAGCAAACAGG